Molecule: long non-coding RNA, 334 nt
Filed under: Androctonus crassicauda
Lineage: Eukaryota; Metazoa; Arthropoda; Arachnida; Scorpiones; Buthidae
Source: RNAcentral
UGGUAGGUGUCGUACAUCAUCCAUUAUCAUCACGACGUCGCUACUAACCAGUGUCCUUGUGAUUUAUCGUCAGCUAACCCUUUUAUAUGUUGUUUAGUGAAAUCUUAUGUUUAUUAUUCGAAUUAACGUUAUUUUAUAUCUCAUUAAUAAAGUUUUGCUUAACCAAGUUAACAUGGACUGUUUUGGUGUGGUGGACUACAUUUUUCGCUGGUUACGAGAAACAGAGUUGGACAUUAAUGUUAAGAUUAAGCGCCGGACCAGCGUCAUGGGGGACCGGGGCCGAACUUUCGGCGGGUUCUCGACAGGUAGUUGGGGCUCGUCACAAAUAUAGCAA